CCUACGGGAGGCAGCAGUGGGGAAUAUUGCACAAUGGGGGAAACCCUGAUGCAGCGACGCCGCGUGAGCGAUGAAGUCUUUCGGUAUGUAAAGCUCUAUCAGCAGGGAAGAAAAUGACGGUACCUGACUCAGAAGCCCCGGCUAACUACGUGCCAGCAGCCGCGGUAAUACGUAGGGGGCACGCGUUAUCCGGAUUUACUGGGUGUAAAGGGAGCGUAGACGGUCCUGCAAGCCAGAUGUGAAAGCCCGGGGCUCAACCCCGGGACUGCAUUUGGAACUGGAAGGCUUGAGUGUCGGAGAGGCAGGCGGAAUUCCUGGGGUAGCGGUGAAAUGCGUAGAUAUCAGGAGGAACACCAGUGGCGAAGGCGGCCUUCUGGACGAUGACUGACGUUGAGGCGCGAAAGCGUGGGGAGCAAACAGGAUUAGAUACCCGAGUAGUC
This 440-nucleotide ribosomal RNA is filed under the name uncultured bacterium. Its description in RNAcentral is "partial 16S ribosomal RNA". It matches the Rfam family "Bacterial small subunit ribosomal RNA", at positions 338 to 795 of the family's 1533-position model. The record is from RNAcentral.